RNAcentral lists this ribosomal RNA (2901 nucleotides) under Escherichia coli. RNAcentral's name for it is "bacterial LSU rRNA". It matches the Rfam family "Bacterial large subunit ribosomal RNA". Lineage: Bacteria; Pseudomonadati; Pseudomonadota; Gammaproteobacteria; Enterobacterales; Enterobacteriaceae. The record is from RNAcentral.
UUAAGCGACUAAGCGUACACGGUGGAUGCCCUGGCAGUCAGAGGCGAUGAAGGACGUGCUAAUCUGCGAUAAGCGUCGGUAAGGUGAUAUGAACCGUUAUAACCGGCGAUUUCCGAAUGGGGAAACCCAGUGUGAUUCGUCACACUAUCAUUAACUGAAUCCAUAGGUUAAUGAGGCGAACCGGGGGAACUGAAACAUCUAAGUACCCCGAGGAAAAGAAAUCAACCGAGAUUCCCCCAGUAGCGGCGAGCGAACGGGGAGGAGCCCAGAGCCUGAAUCAGUGUGUGUGUUAGUGGAAGCGUCUGGAAAGGCGCGCGAUACAGGGUGACAGCCCCGUACACAAAAAUGCACAUAUUGUGAGCUCGAUGAGUAGGGCGGGACACGUGGUAUCCUGUCUGAAUAUGGGGGGACCAUCCUCCAAGGCUAAAUACUCCUGACUGACCGAUAGUGAACCAGUACCGUGAGGGAAAGGCGAAAAGAACCCCGGCGAGGGGAGUGAAAAAGAACCUGAAACCGUGUACGUACAAGCAGUGGGAGCACGCUUCGGCGUGUGACUGCGUACCUUUUGUAUAAUGGGUCAGCGACUUAUAUUCUGUAGCAAGGUUAACCGAAUAGGGGAGCCGAAGGGAAACCGAGUCUUAACUGGGCGUUAAGUUGCAGGGUAUAGACCCGAAACCCGGUGAUCUAGCCAUGGGCAGGUUGAAGGUUGGGUAACACUAACUGGAGGACCGAACCGACUAAUGUUGAAAAAUUAGCGGAUGACUUGUGGCUGGGGGUGAAAGGCCAAUCAAACCGGGAGAUAGCUGGUUCUCCCCGAAAGCUAUUUAGGUAGCGCCUCGUGAAUUCAUCUCCGGGGGUAGAGCACUGUUUCGGCAAGGGGGUCAUCCCGACUUACCAACCCGAUGCAAACUGCGAAUACCGGAGAAUGUUAUCACGGGAGACACACGGCGGGUGCUAACGUCCGUCGUGAAGAGGGAAACAACCCAGACCGCCAGCUAAGGUCCCAAAGUCAUGGUUAAGUGGGAAACGAUGUGGGAAGGCCCAGACAGCCAGGAUGUUGGCUUAGAAGCAGCCAUCAUUUAAAGAAAGCGUAAUAGCUCACUGGUCGAGUCGGCCUGCGCGGAAGAUGUAACGGGGCUAAACCAUGCACCGAAGCUGCGGCAGCGACACUAUGUGUCGUUGGGUAGGGGAGCGUUCUGUAAGCCUGUGAAGGUGUACUGUGAGGUAUGCUGGAGGUAUCAGAAGUGCGAAUGCUGACAUAAGUAACGAUAAAGCGGGUGAAAAGCCCGCUCGCCGGAAGACCAAGGGUUCCUGUCCAACGUUAAUCGGGGCAGGGUGAGUCGACCCCUAAGGCAAGGCCGAAAGGCGUAGUCGAUGGGAAACAGGUUAAUAUUCCUGUACUUGGUGUUACUGCGAAGGGGGGACGGAGAAGGCUAUGUUGGCCGGGCGACGGUUGUCCCGGUUUAAGCGUGUAGGCUGGUUUUCCAGGCAAAUCCGGAAAAUCAAGGCUGAGGCGUGAUGACGAGGCACUACGGUGCUGAAGCAACAAAUGCCCUGCUUCCAGGAAAAGCCUCUAAGCAUCAGGUAACAUCAAAUCGUACCCCAAACCGACACAGGUGGUCAGGUAGAGAAUACCAAGGCGCUUGAGAGAACUCGGGUGAAGGAACUAGGCAAAAUGGUGCCGUAACUUCGGGAGAAGGCACGCUGAUAUGUAGGUGAAGUCCCUCGCGGAUGGAGCUGAAAUCAGUCGAAGAUACCAGCUGGCUGCAACUGUUUAUUAAAAACACAGCACUGUGCAAACACGAAAGUGGACGUAUACGGUGUGACGCCUGCCCGGUGCCGGAAGGUUAAUUGAUGGGGUCAGCGCAAGCGAAGCUCUUGAUCGAAGCCCCGGUAAACGGCGGCCGUAACUAUAACGGUCCUAAGGUAGCGAAAUUCCUUGUCGGGUAAGUUCCGACCUGCACGAAUGGCGUAAUGAUGGCCAGGCUGUCUCCACCCGAGACUCAGUGAAAUUGAACUCGCUGUGAAGAUGCAGUGUACCCGCGGCAAGACGGAAAGACCCCGUGAACCUUUACUAUAGCUUGACACUGAACAUUGAGCCUUGAUGUGUAGGAUAGGUGGGAGGCUUUGAAGUGUGGACGCCAGUCUGCAUGGAGCCGACCUUGAAAUACCACCCUUUAAUGUUUGAUGUUCUAACGUUGACCCGUAAUCCGGGUUGCGGACAGUGUCUGGUGGGUAGUUUGACUGGGGCGGUCUCCUCCUAAAGAGUAACGGAGGAGCACGAAGGUUGGCUAAUCCUGGUCGGACAUCAGGAGGUUAGUGCAAUGGCAUAAGCCAGCUUGACUGCGAGCGUGACGGCGCGAGCAGGUGCGAAAGCAGGUCAUAGUGAUCCGGUGGUUCUGAAUGGAAGGGCCAUCGCUCAACGGAUAAAAGGUACUCCGGGGAUAACAGGCUGAUACCGCCCAAGAGUUCAUAUCGACGGCGGUGUUUGGCACCUCGAUGUCGGCUCAUCACAUCCUGGGGCUGAAGUAGGUCCCAAGGGUAUGGCUGUUCGCCAUUUAAAGUGGUACGCGAGCUGGGUUUAGAACGUCGUGAGACAGUUCGGUCCCUAUCUGCCGUGGGCGCUGGAGAACUGAGGGGGGCUGCUCCUAGUACGAGAGGACCGGAGUGGACGCAUCACUGGUGUUCGGGUUGUCAUGCCAAUGGCACUGCCCGGUAGCUAAAUGCGGAAGAGAUAAGUGCUGAAAGCAUCUAAGCACGAAACUUGCCCCGAGAUGAGUUCUCCCUGACUCCUUGAGAGUCCUGAAGGAACGUUGAAGACGACGACGUUGAUAGGCCGGGUGUGUAAGCGCAGCGAUGCGUUGAGCUAACCGGUACUAAUGAACCGUGAGGCUUAACCUU